AAUAAAAUCAUUUUUUGUUUUUCCGUGUCCAACGUUCGAUCAUUCGUCUUAUUUGAAAAAAAUUUGUGAUUAAUAUUUUUGUUCUUACUAGAUGAUAAAAUAUAAAUAGUACUUUAUGCGUAACUAAUUUUUUUAAGUUUUUAUACAAAUUUUUGAAAUAAGACGAAUGGUGAAACGUUGGACACGGAAAAAUGAAAAAUGAUCUUAUU
Non-coding RNA from Oryza brachyantha (malo sina), 209 nucleotides. Lineage: Eukaryota; Viridiplantae; Streptophyta; Magnoliopsida; Poales; Poaceae. The record is from Rfam.